GCUCCGAUCGCCUAGUGGUUAGAGCGUCCGCCUCGGAUGCGGAAGGUCGUGGGUUCGAUUCCCUUUUGAGUCA
This is a non-coding RNA of Potamilus streckersoni, 73 nucleotides long. NCBI's taxonomy places the organism in Eukaryota, Metazoa, Mollusca, Bivalvia, Unionida, Unionidae. The record is from the annotation of a GenBank genome assembly.